Molecule: transfer RNA, 86 nt
Filed under: Altibacter sp.
Lineage: Bacteria; Pseudomonadati; Bacteroidota; Flavobacteriia; Flavobacteriales; Flavobacteriaceae
Description: tRNA-Leu
Rfam family: tRNA
About the family: Transfer RNA (tRNA) molecules are approximately 80 nucleotides in length. Their secondary structure includes four short double-helical elements and three loops (D, anti-codon, and T loops).
Source: RNAcentral
ACCCGGGUGCUGGAAUUGGUAGACAGGCACGGUUGAGGGCCGUGUGUACUCGUUACGUGUGGGUUCAAGUCCCAUCCCGGGUACUA